Molecule: ribosomal RNA, 499 nt
Filed under: uncultured bacterium
Lineage: Bacteria
Description: partial 16S ribosomal RNA
Rfam family: Bacterial small subunit ribosomal RNA
Source: RNAcentral
GACGAACGCUGGCGGCGUGCCUAAUACAUGCAAGUCGAGCGAAGUUUUUCUGGUGCUUGCACUAGAAAAACUUAGCGGCGAACGGGUGAGUAACACGUAAAGAACCUGCCUCAUAGACUGGGACAACUAUUGGAAACGAUAGCUAAUACCGGAUAACAGUAUUUCUCGCAUGAGAGAUAUUUAAAAGUUGGUUAUGCUAACACUAUGAGAUGGCUUUGCGGUGCAUUAGCUAGUUGGUGGGGUAAAGGCCCACCAAGGCGACGAUGCAUAGCCGACCUGAGAGGGUGAUCGGCCACACUGGGACUGAGACACGGCCCAGACUCCUACGGGAGGCAGCAGUAGGGAAUCUGCCGCAAUGGGCGAAAGCCUGACGGAGCAACGCCGCGUGAGUGAAGAAGGAUUUCGGUUCGUAAAGCUCUGUUGUUAGGGAAGAAUGGAUAUGUAGUAACUAUACAUGUAAGAGACGGUACCUAACCAGAAAGCCACGGCUAACUACGUG